CGCGGGGUCAGGGAAGACCAGAGGACCACUAGCCCCAGGAAGCUUCCCACCACCAGCAAACUGCGUGGUGAAUUUGUAACCGAAAGGCCCAGGUGAGAUGUGCAAAUAUCACUGGAUUGGAGGAGCUCACUUGGAAAGCCAGUAUUCCUCCUGAGCUAAUGAAAAGAAAGGCUGUCGUCUUAUGCCAAAAGCAAUACCAACCUUGUUCACGGGCUGAGAUCUAGAGUGUGUAAUUCACGAAGUAUGAAUCUGCUGGGUAAUGUGAUAUGAAAAGCGAAUGCACCAUUUCUUGGUGAUGAUUCAGGUCAGCGUUGGGACCCAGGAAUCUCCUGUUAAUCAGUACCCUGGUGAUUUUGAUCCAGAGACGGGGUCUAUUAUCUGGUCCUGUUGUCAAGGCUGGUCUCAAACUCCUGGCCUCCAGCGAUCCUCCCUUUUUGGCCUCCCAAGAUGCUGGUAUUACAGGCAUGAGCCACCAUGGUCCACCCGGACUCCUUUUCAUAGGAGACAGUUCCCUAGGCAGAGACUGGGCUUGAAACAGGUAACUUACAAGGCAUCCUGUGAUCAUAAGAGAAUAAUUCCAUUUGAAAUCAGCA
Molecule: long non-coding RNA, 593 nt
Filed under: Homo sapiens (human)
Lineage: Eukaryota; Metazoa; Chordata; Mammalia; Primates; Hominidae
Description: non-protein coding lnc-HMGB2-3:3
Source: RNAcentral